GAUCUGGUCAGAACGAACGCUGGCGGCGCGUUUAAGCAUGCACGUCGAGCGGCAAGGGCCUUCGGGCCCCUAGAGCGGCGGACGGGUGAGUAACACGUGGACAAUCUGCCCCCCGGCCCGGGAUAGCCCAGGGAAACCUGGAUUAAUACCGGAUGAGACGGGACCCGCGAUGGCGGGACCCGGGAAAGGCGCUGCGGCGCCGCCGGGGGAUGAGUCUGCGUCCCAUUAGCUAGACGGCGGGGUAACGGCCCACCGUGGCGACGAUGGGUAGCCGGCCUGAGAGGGUGGACGGCCACAUUGGAACUGAGACACGGUCCAGACUCCUACGGGAGGCAGCAGCUAAGAAUCUUCCGCAAUGGGCGAAAGCCUGACGGAAGCGACGCCGCGUGAACGAAGAAGGCCGUGAGGUUGUAAAGUUCUUUUCGGGAGGGGGAACAACCGUGGCAGGGAAUGGCCGCGGGAUGACGUGAAUCCCGGAAUAAGCCCCGGCUAACUACGUGCCAGCCGCCGC
RNAcentral lists this ribosomal RNA (511 nucleotides) under uncultured bacterium. RNAcentral describes it as "bacterial SSU rRNA". It matches the Rfam family "Bacterial small subunit ribosomal RNA", at positions 15 to 518 of the family's 1533-position model. The record is from RNAcentral.